Molecule: long non-coding RNA, 613 nt
Organism: Protopterus annectens (West African lungfish)
Lineage: Eukaryota; Metazoa; Chordata; Ceratodontiformes; Protopteridae
Exons: 2
Source: RefSeq, a predicted model, not a curated record
GAACCCAAACUAAAGGCGCUACAGAAGAAGUAUGCAGAACUACAAGAGAAAUCAGCAAAUAUGAAGAAUAUGACACAAUUCUUAAACGACCUGCAAAAUCUACAGGCAAAAUAUAUGAAGUACUUAGAGAAAAAUCCAAAAGAGGAGGAAGUGUAUGGAGCUGCCAGUAUGCCUGCGAUGUUAUUAGAUGCACGUGGAAUUUUAGGAGCUGAAAGCCAUUUGCGGACUGUUAACACAAGACUAAACAACCAACUGAAGCAGACAAGCAAGUAACACAUUUGGAUAAGAAUUUUAACGUACAUGUUCCACAUUUUCAGCAAGUUUUAGAUUAUUUUCCUUCUGCACAAAAGGACAAGUUAUGUAAGUUCAGGACUGACGAGACAACUUCUUUUCUGCAUAUAUCUGUAAUGUUUGUAAAAAAAAUUCCAGUUGUAAUUUAAGAUCCUGUAUAUUAAUAAAGUCAGAAUAUCAUUGUAAUUAUUUUCAGAGUUUGUUAAAGUAUAUAAAUGAAAAAUUCAUUUUAGUGCCUUACUGUGGUUUUAAAUGCACCUGUGAGAUUUCACCGAUUGUGAAAAGGGGACAUUUCAAUAAACAUUAUUUCUAUAAUUGUAAA